Molecule: non-coding RNA, 82 nt
Organism: Stomoxys calcitrans (stable fly)
Lineage: Eukaryota; Metazoa; Arthropoda; Insecta; Diptera; Muscidae
Source: Rfam
UUUUAAAUGAUGAUAAUUCUACUCAGAAUAAACUCAUUGAUGAGCACACACUCAAUUUAAACCAAAAGGAUUCUGAUAUCAA